UACGGAGGGUGCAAGCGUUGUUCGGAAUUAUUGGGCGUAAAGCGCGCGCAGGCGGUCGAAAAAGUCUAUGGGUCAAAGGCCGGGGCUCAACCCCGAGUACGCCCAGGAUACUGUUCGACUGGAGACACGUAGAGGCAAGCGGAAUUUCGGGUGUAGCGGUGGAAUGCGUAGAUAUCCGAAAGAACACCGGAGGCGAAGGCGGCUUGCUGGGCGUGAUCUGACGCUGAGGCGCGAAAGCGUGGGGAGCGAACAGG
This 254-nucleotide ribosomal RNA is filed under the name uncultured bacterium. RNAcentral describes it as "partial 16S ribosomal RNA". It matches the Rfam family "Bacterial small subunit ribosomal RNA", at positions 524 to 776 of the family's 1533-position model. The record is from RNAcentral.